RNAcentral lists this ribosomal RNA (253 nucleotides) under uncultured bacterium. RNAcentral describes it as "partial 16S ribosomal RNA". It matches the Rfam family "Bacterial small subunit ribosomal RNA", at positions 524 to 776 of the family's 1533-position model. The record is from RNAcentral.
GACGAACCGUGCGAACGUUGUUCGGAAUCACUGGGCUUAAAGGGCGCGUAGGCGGGCCGUCACGUCAGGGGUGAAAGCCCCCAGCUCAACUGGGGAAGUGCCUUUGAUACUGACGAUCUCGAGGGAGGUAGGGGCGUGCGGAACUUCCGGUGGAGCGGUGAAAUGCGUAGAGAUCGGCAGGAACACCCAGGGGGAAACCAGUCGACUGGGCAUUACCUGACGCUGAUGUGCGAGAGCGUGGGGAGCGAACCGG